AUUGAACGCUGGCGGCAGGCUUAACACAUGCAAGUCGAGCGGAGAUGAGGUGCUUGCACCUUAUCUUAGCGGCGGACGGGUGAGUAAUGCUUAGGAAUCUGCCUAUUAGUGGGGGACAACAUUCCGAAAGGAAUGCUAAUACCGCAUACGUCCUACGGGAGGAAGCAGGGGAUCUUCGGACCUUGCGCUAAUAGAUGAGCCUAAGUCGGAUUAGCUAGUUGGUGGGGUAAAGGCCUACCAAGGCGACGAUCUGUAGCGGGUCUGAGAGGAUGAUCCGCCACACUGGGACUGAGACACGGCCCAGACUCCUACGGGAGGCAGCAGUGGGGAAUAUUGGACAAUGGGGGAAGCCCUGAUCCAGCCAUGCCGCGUGUGUGAAGAAGGCCUUAUGGUUGUAAAGCACUUUAAGCGAGGAGGAGGCUACUGAGACUAAUACUCUUGGAUAGUGGACGUUACUCGCAGAAUAAGCACCGGCUAACUCUGUGCCAGCCGCCGCCGUAA
Molecule: ribosomal RNA, 501 nt
Filed under: uncultured bacterium
Lineage: Bacteria
Description: partial 16S ribosomal RNA
Rfam family: Bacterial small subunit ribosomal RNA
Source: RNAcentral